UCUGCCAACAAAAUUAAUUGCCCUCAUCUCUUGUACAUUGACAGUCCAGAAGAUUCUAGAAGAUGCUUGUAUUUUUGUGGUGUUUACCACAAACAAAAGGCCAAUGCUUUCAGCAGCUGCCCAGAGGGGUUUUGGAGUAAGUUUCAACAAAUUCAACUUGAAUUAUAGUUCACCUUCUCUCUCUGGGGCUGCCCAAUCUUCUUAUCAGUAACCUCAGCUUCUGAGGCCAAGUAGGGUAUUUUACUAGUCAAAGUAAGUUUGCUUCCUUAAGAAAAAAGGAAAAACAAUGCACCACUUUCUUACCUGAUGGGAAAAUAAAUCUUCAGUUUGCAGUUUGGGGAAAAUGUUGUGGUAUUUACAUCUUGCAGAGUUUUAUGUUGCAUUUACAGUAUUGCUUACAGAAUGCAAAAAUUUUCUUGUUUCUUACUUAAUGUAAAGAAACCAAGGACAAGAGAAGUUCCAUCCCAUUCAGUUCAUACAAUAGUAUUUCUUAAACAUAACUGGCAUCAGGAUUACCUGGGAUGCCCAGGCAUCCUGAUUCCAUAGGACCCCAUUUGGAGAAACACUGACCCUUAUAAGUGUCACAAAAUUGGAAACGGCCUUGAAGCUCCUGAGUCCCACCCUUCAUUCUACAGAGGGAAGACUAGUCCAGAAACCUGAAGAGGUUCUCCCAGGCUCCUAUAGCCCACACAGCUCCUGCUGCUCACCAGAGGCAGAAUCAGGCCCAGAUUUUGGUCCUGGGCCCUCUAGGUGUCCUGCCCUGCCAAGCAGCUCUGGCUGUUCUGCAACCUCAUUUAUUUCCUGCUUUCUUCCUCUUGCCCCUGCCCCCCAGCCUGGGUGACACAGCGCGAGACUCCGUCUCAAAAAAAAAAAAAAAAAAAAAAAAAAAAAAUAUCAACCAAACAUAGUGAUGUGCACCUAUGGUCCCAACUACUUGGGAGGCUCAGGUGGGAGGAUCACUUGAGCCUGGGAGGUCGAGGCUGCAGUGAGCUAUGAUUGUGCCACUGCACUCCAACCUGGGUGACAGAGUAUUCCAGAGAUGGUAAAGUAUGUGUGUCUUUGAAUUGAUAACACGUGGGUGUUAAAAUCUCAAUCAUCCGUCUUUUGACUAAAGUCUCAAUUGUCUGUCAAGAGAAGAUUUUGUAGAAAAGGAUAAAACAUAAAGUAAAGUAUAUUUACGUUUAUGAUUAUAAAUACUUCUGCCAAAAGAGGGUAUUUGUGGCUUCUUGUAAUCCUUUGCAGAUAUUGUCACUAACCUCUCCUUCAUUCCUCCAAAUUAUGCAUGUACUUGGUAUUCUUAUUUCCUCAUCCCCAUCUUAUCCAUCAAGUAAGUAAAGCCCUGGAUACCUGAGUUGGUUAUCCGAGACUUUGCAGUGAGUGAGUCAGAGAGGAAUGGAAUUUCUGUUCUCCUUACCCCCAGGUAGCAUUGCCUAGAGCCAUGCUGAGAAGAUCACUCUGUGAGACAAACCAGGAAACCUAAUUAACAGGACAGGUCUGGUCCUGACUCUACAUCAUUUUCAUCUUCAUAUGGAUGACUGAUGAGGGGUGGCUAUGACAGAGCUAUCUGUAUUGUCUGAUCUGGGAAACUGUUUCUUUGAAAAGCUCAUAAAUUGACCUAUUAAGACUAUUAUCUGUGUUCCAGGACUAAAUAAAAGCCACAGCUGGAGACUCCAGUAAUAUGUAAACAUGAAUCUAUAUUAAUGUGGAUAUAAAAUUGCCCAGAAAUCUCUUGAUCAACAAAUUUUUAUGUAUGUUUUGCUUAUCUAUAACUGAUCUUAUAGCUUCCCUUGCUUACUGGGCAUCAUUAUAUAAUAAUUAGUGUGUUUAUAUAUGUUGAAGUAUCUGCUAACUAGAAUGAUUUGGGAUUUAUCCAACUUGAUCCAAAAACAAAUUUGGCCAGG
Molecule: long non-coding RNA, 1901 nt
Organism: Papio anubis (olive baboon)
Lineage: Eukaryota; Metazoa; Chordata; Mammalia; Primates; Cercopithecidae
Source: Ensembl